UUUUGCCAUGAGGUAUCUGAUGCUCACCCUGAGACAAAUGGCUGAGUGUCUCGUUAAAGUGGCAAACAUUAAUAAAACAGGCCUUGCGACACUGGUUGCUCACGCAAUGGGCUUCCUGUUACUAUUUUCCUGUUAAUAUGA
Dioscorea cayenensis subsp. rotundata (Guinea yam) is the source of this 141-nucleotide small nucleolar RNA. RefSeq annotates it as small nucleolar RNA F1/F2/snoR5a. Lineage: Eukaryota; Viridiplantae; Streptophyta; Magnoliopsida; Dioscoreales; Dioscoreaceae. The transcript has a single exon. The record is from RefSeq and is a predicted model, not a curated record.